GACGGGUAUCCGGCCUGAGAGGGUGAACGGACACACUGAACUGAGACACGGUCCAGACUCCUACGGGAGGCAGCAGUAGGGAAUAUUGCUCAAUGGGGGAAACCUGAAGCAGCAACGCGCGUGGAGGAUGAAGGUUUUCGGAUUGUAAACUCUUUUCUAAGAGAAGAUUAUGACGGUAUCUUAGGAAUAAGCCGGCUAACUCUGCCAGCAGCGCGGUAAUACGGAGGGUGCAAGCGUUACUCGGAAUCACUGGGCGUAAAGAGCGCGUAGGCGGGAUAGCAAGUCAGAUGUGAAAUCCUAUGGCUUACAUAGAACUGCAUUUGAACUGUUAUUCUA
RNAcentral lists this ribosomal RNA (336 nucleotides) under uncultured Helicobacter sp. Its description in RNAcentral is "bacterial SSU rRNA". It matches the Rfam family "Bacterial small subunit ribosomal RNA", at positions 278 to 643 of the family's 1533-position model. Lineage: Bacteria; Pseudomonadati; Campylobacterota; Epsilonproteobacteria; Campylobacterales; Helicobacteraceae. The record is from RNAcentral.